CGGACGGGUGAGUAACGCGUGAGAAUCUGGCUUCAGGUCUGGGACAACCACUGGAAACGGUGGCUAAUACCGGAUGUGCCGAGAGGUGAAAGGUUAACUGCCUGAAGAUGAGCUCGCGUCUGAUUAGCUAGUUGGUAGAGUAAGAGCCUACCAAGGCGACGAUCAGUAGCUGGUCUGAGAGGACGAUCAGCCACACUGGGACUGAGACACGGCCCAGACUCCUACGGGAGGCAGCAGUGGGGAAUUUUCCGCAAUGGGCGAAAGCCUGACGGAGCAAUACCGCGUGAGGGAGGAAGGCUCUUGGGUCGUAAACCUCUUUUCUCAGGGAAGAACACAAUGACGGUACCUGAGGAAUAAGCAUCGGCUAACUCCGUGCCAGCAGCCGCGGUAAUACGGAGGAUGCAAGCGUUAUCCGGAAUGAUUGGGCGUAAAGCGUCCGCAGGUGGCAAUGUAAGUCUGCUGUUAAAGAGUCUAGCUCAACUAGAUAAGAGCAGUGGAAACUACAUAGCUAGAGUACGUUCGGGGCAGAGGGAAUUCCUGGUGUAGCGGUGAAAUGCGUGGAGAUCAGGAAGAACACCAGUGGCGAAGGCGCUCUGCUAGGCCGUAACUGACACUGAGGGACGAAAGCUAGGGGAGCGAAUGGGAUUAGAUACCCCAGUAGUC
RNAcentral lists this ribosomal RNA (663 nucleotides) under uncultured cyanobacterium. RNAcentral describes it as "bacterial SSU rRNA". It matches the Rfam family "Bacterial small subunit ribosomal RNA", at positions 99 to 795 of the family's 1533-position model. The record is from RNAcentral. Lineage: Bacteria; Bacillati; Cyanobacteriota.